UUGAAAGGGAAACGAUUGAAGUCAGUCAUACCAACGGGAAAUCAACCUUUUGAGCUUGGUCUCGUGGGUUUUGAAGAGUUUCAAAGCCUUCGGAUUCGCGGGAUUGGGAUCUCUCGGUGUACUUUUUCGUACGGUUAGUCAACAUCGGUUUUGAAUGUCAUAAAAUGACUGGAGGAAUGUAGCUUCGAUCUCGUAUUGAAGUGUUAUAGCCUUUGGUAGAUGUGAUGUUUGAGACCGAGGAUUGCAACGGAUACCCUUCAGGGCUAUUCGUCUGAUCUCUGAUACGUUGCCUUGAUGUUGAAAGCUUGCUUAUGAUGUUAGGGUAUUACGGUCAAAAGGUUAGAACGAAUUACAUUCGUUAAGGAUGUUGACGUA
This 375-nucleotide ribosomal RNA is filed under the name uncultured Glomus. RNAcentral describes it as "LSU rRNA". Lineage: Eukaryota; Fungi; Glomeromycota; Glomeromycetes; Glomerales; Glomeraceae. RNAcentral also lists the same sequence under 1 other name. The record is from RNAcentral.